UCAACCCCCGCUUCUGUUGAUUCUUCUGAUGCAACCCGUUUGUGUUUUCCCCGCAAUCCACCCAUUACAGUAUCCUUUGCGGUGGCUGUUGCUGCGGCGUUGCACUUAUGGCUAUAAAUUUGAGUGUUGGUCGAUGAUGGUGUGAUCCUGCGUGUAGUGUGCUUGUGCUGUCAUGUUUUCACUUCUUGUAUUUGUAAUUCGAUUAGGAAAAAUUGCGUCAGAUGAAUGCUGUUUUUGGGUUUCAUUGGCGAAAUAUUCUCCUAUAUAAUUAAGGUGGUGUCACGGGGAUUACUACUCUGGAUAUCAAAACUUUAGAAUAGAUUUCAUGUAACAAGUCUCUUAUGAAUGGCCUCUACGCAGCGGUCAGCAGUUGGUCGAUUGGCGGUAGGGGGUCCUCGUGUCAAGCCCCAGAUCUAAGCCUAGAGGCAUGGCAACUACUUUUAGAUUUCAAUCCCAAAAGUACUCAAUCAUGGGAAUAACAUUCGAAAACAACCAAACUAUAGCCGACCACAAUCCGAACAUCAAAACUUGAACAGUAAAUGAAUCAAACUGUAAGAAACUCCAGAGUAAAUAAUAAAUCUCCGAAGUAUAAUAAUUACAGUAAGGGUAGCUAGUUAUUUCAAGAUUCAACUUGCCAAAAAAAAAUAGCUAUAGCCUAUAAAGACCAUUCCCUCACCUAUUCCAUUGCUCCUCUUGGGCUCUUGAGCUAGAUGCUUUAAAGAUGGCCAAAAAAUAGGGUGACCUUGAAUGCCUAAAUAUAAAUGCGUUGAUGACGCUUUUACAAUUUAGGUAUGACAGAUUUAUCAAGCUUUUUAACUAAUGGUUUUUUAAUAGCAUAUAUCAAUGCUACUUUGAAUUCAUAUUGAAAGCAAAAAGCAUACACUUACCUGGUUUAUUAAAGGGUGCCAACUUCUAUGGGACUUAGCUAGCCUCGUAUUUGUUCUUCUACCUGUGAAGCUAGGGAAUCAAACUUUACUGGUAUGGUAAUCUCUAAUUUGACCCCAUAAAGGUUGGGUCUAAUUUAUCAUCACCGUCAUCAUCAUCACUCCCCCAUUGAGGGAGUACAAAACCUGACAGCACAAUCACUAGCAUGUCAAGGCCAAACAUAAUCAAAGUCCAAAAACCAAUCAGCUAAAAGAAAAAUAAGUUCAGUUUUCUAUUACUAGGUUGACUAUCUAAUUUUUGGCCGAAUCCUAAUGAUUUUAAAAUAUAUUUAUACACUUAAGAGGAGUCUAUAAUUAUAUAAUAUUAAAAAAAAAUUUCUUAAGAUAUCACAAAAGACCCAAAACUUCUAUUUGAUAUUUCUUUAUUAUUUUAAAUAUUGCAUAUUGAAUUGAAAAAAGUAGUAUUCAUGAAGGGUAAAAACCUUGAUUUCUUAUAGGAACAACCCCCACCCCGAAGAGAGGAAUCGAAAAAUAUCCUGCAAUAAAACACCAUCUGAAAAGAAGAAUCCAAAAG
RNAcentral lists this long non-coding RNA (1458 nucleotides) under Vitis vinifera (wine grape). Its description in RNAcentral is "long non-coding RNA (VVIN_LNC002538)". Lineage: Eukaryota; Viridiplantae; Streptophyta; Magnoliopsida; Vitales; Vitaceae. The record is from RNAcentral.